Molecule: long non-coding RNA, 1687 nt
Filed under: Lytechinus variegatus (green sea urchin)
Lineage: Eukaryota; Metazoa; Echinodermata; Echinoidea; Temnopleuroida; Toxopneustidae
Description: uncharacterized LOC121426092
Source: RNAcentral
AUGGGGUUGGGGCAAAAAUUGUGACAUCAGGGUCAAAAAAUAGAAAUGUAAUAAAUGAAAUGUUUUAUUUCUUAUAUGUUUCAUGGGACAAUCCUUCAACUAAAUCCACUUACAGGCAUUUCAUACCACCCUGCAUAUUGGAGUAAACUGAGAAAUAAGAUUUGACAAAAUACCACCGUUACAUGGACAUCAUUUAUCAUCCUUACUAAGACUAUGCUCUCCCACUGUCAAAAUAAAGGGGUUGAUCUCCAUUACUCUUGAUAAAUAUUUUGCUAACAACAUUGUUAGUCAUUUUAUUCCACACUUUUCAACAUGGCAUAUAUAUUUUGAAAGAUUUAGCAUCAAUAAAUGGAACUUGAUGCUCUGUGUGUAUACCAGUGCCAUGUUCUGUGUCGUUCUUUUUUCUCACCAGUCUAGAAAAUUGAAUUUAUGAUGGCAUGUAGCACUAAAAAGUUGAGAGAAGUCAUGCCUCAACAGAAUGGAAUAUUCUCUUUGGAAAAAAUAAACUACUCUUUCUGGCAUAACCUUCUAUUUUUGGUGUUACCACCGUUACAUGGACAUCAUGUCUCAGUAACAGAGGUAUACUUAGAAGCAAUGUUAAGUUAAUGUCCAUUAAUGGCCAUUACACACCAAAUUCCACUUCAUGCCUUAGAAUAUUUGCACAAGAUCAAUUGAUUACACUAAAGAAAAACAUUUUGCAUGUCAAAUUCUUUGCAAAUAAAAGCAAAUUAAAUUAGAGUUUAAACAAGGAAAAAUGUACAAAAUUAUUGACAAAUUAUAUUUAAAAUCAUACUACGAUAAUCCUCAAGUUUCCACUUCCAUCUACCUCUGGAAACAUUUACGUUUCUGCCUAAAUGGAAAAAACAAAACAGUGCUAUCUUAUGAUCUCCAAUUCUUUUUACUUUAAAAUAACUCCUUCAAGAUAUUACUUUCAAAUGUACAUACCACCGUUACAUGGACAUCAUGUCUCAGUAACAGAGGUAUACUUUGAAGCAUUGCUAAGUUAAGGUCCAUUAAUGGCCAUUAAACACCAAAUUCCACUUCAUGCCUUAGAAUAUUUGCACAAGAUCAAUUGAUUAUACUAAAAAACAUUUUUCAUGUCAAAUUCUUUGCAAAUAAAAGCAAUUUAAAUUAGAGUUUAAACAAGGAAAAAUGUACAAAAUUAUUGAUAAAUUUAUAUUUAAAAUAAUACUAAGGUAAUCCUCAAGGUUCCACUUCCGUCUAUCUCUGGAAACAAAUGUUUCUGUCUAAAGCGGAAAAAAACAAAAGAGUGCUAGCUUAUGAUCUCCAAAUCUUUAUUACUUUAAAAUAUCUCCUUCACGGUAUUACUUUCAAAUGUACAUACCUCCGUUACAUGGACAUCAUGUCCUUGUAAUGAUCAUAUUGAAUAGUAUUACAUGUACUUGCCAUUCUUUUAGUAUCAACACACUAAUGCGAGUUAACUCAUCUUACUCAAGUGUAGAAAUACAACAUCUACAGGCAAGCUUCUAAAAUGCAUCAAUGAACAGGUUACAAGUUUAUGAACUUCAAGAUGAUCGGUGACCCAAUGACAACUGUGUGGAAGAGGACUCUGUCAAUGUCACAAAAUAGACAGAGGUAGAAUUGUGCCUCGCCAUCAGGCCAGGAGUACAGGUCACCAGAUUGACACUUCAUGUACUGAAGAUAUACAUUUUUACCUUCAACAGAG